CAGCCGCCGCGGUAAUACGGAGGGGGCUAGCGUUGUUCGGAAUUACUGGGCGUAAAGCGCGCGUAGGCGGCUUGGAAAGUCAGAUGUGAAAUCCCGAGGCUUAACCUCGGAACUGCAUUUGAAACUAUCAGGCUAGAGUUUGUUAGGGGAGUGUGGAAUUUCUAGUGGAGCGGUGAAAUGCGUAGAUAUUAGAAGGAACACCAGUGGCGAAGGCGACACUCUGGGACAAUACUGACGCUGAGGUGCGAAAGCGUGGGGAGCAAACAGGAUUAGAUA
Molecule: ribosomal RNA, 276 nt
Filed under: uncultured bacterium
Lineage: Bacteria
Description: partial 16S ribosomal RNA
Rfam family: Bacterial small subunit ribosomal RNA
Source: RNAcentral